UGGGGAAUAUUGGACAAUGGGGGAAACCCUGAUCCAGCAAUGCCGCGUGAGUGAUGAAGGCCUUAGGGUUGUAAAGCUCUUUCGACGGGGACGAUGAUGACGGUACCCGUAGAAGAAGCCCCGGCUAACUUCGUGCCAGCAGCCGCGGUAAUACGAAGGGGGCUAGCGUUGUUCGGAAUUACUGGGCGUAAAGGGCGCGUAGGCGGUCUUGUAAGUCAGAUGUGAAAGCCCCGGGCUCAACCCGGGAAUAGCAUUUGAUACUGCGAGGCUUGAGUCCGGGAGAGGAUGGCGGAAUUCCCAGUGUAGAGGUGAAAUUCGUAGAUAUUGGGAAGAACACCGGUGGCGAAGGCGGCCAUCUGGACCGGUACUGACGCUGAGGCGCGAAAGCGUGGGGAGCAAACAGGAUUAGAUACCCUGGUAGUCCACGCCGUAAACGAUGUCGACUAGCCGUUGGGAGUCUUGAACUCUUAGUGGCGCAGCUAACGCAUUAAGUUGACCGCCUGGGGA
Molecule: ribosomal RNA, 507 nt
Filed under: uncultured Pseudomonadota bacterium
Lineage: Bacteria; Pseudomonadati; Pseudomonadota
Description: bacterial SSU rRNA
Rfam family: Bacterial small subunit ribosomal RNA
Source: RNAcentral